ACGAGGGAUCCUAGCGUUGUUCGGAAUCAUUGGGCGUAAAGCGGGUGUAGGCGGACUUAUAAGUCAGGUGUGAAAUCCCAGGGCUCAACCCUGGAAGUGCACUUGAUACUGCAAGUCUUGAGUGUGGUAGAGGCUAUUAGAAUUCCUGGUGUAGUGGUGAAAUACGUAGAUAUCAGGAGGAAUACCGGAGGCGAAGGCGGAUAGCUGGGCCAACACUGACGCUGAGACCCGAAAGCGUGGGGAUCAAACAGGAUUAGAUACCCUGGUAGUCCACGCUGUAAACGAUGGAUACUUGUUGUUAGAGGUAUUGACCCCUCUAGUGACGUAGCUAACGCGUUAAGUAUCCCGCCUGGGGAGUACGGUCGCAAGAUUA
Molecule: ribosomal RNA, 373 nt
Filed under: uncultured bacterium
Lineage: Bacteria
Description: bacterial SSU rRNA
Rfam family: Bacterial small subunit ribosomal RNA
Source: RNAcentral